RNAcentral lists this long non-coding RNA (222 nucleotides) under Panax ginseng (ginseng). Its description in RNAcentral is "long non-coding RNA (PGIN_LNC002424)". Lineage: Eukaryota; Viridiplantae; Streptophyta; Magnoliopsida; Apiales; Araliaceae. The record is from RNAcentral.
GGCAACACAUGCGAAAGUGACAGAGACCAGGUUUAACAUUUAUACAACUAUUGUGUUGAAAUAAUGUUAGAGUAGGUUUGUUGCCUUUUUAACCCUCUGGUCAACCAUAAUUGAACCAUGACUCCAUGAGUGACAUUUUUUUUCUUUUUCCUAUUUUUUCCAUCUAUUUUUUCAUCUGCAAUAGUAACAUUAUAAUUGUGACAUAUUAUUCCUCCAUCCAGU